Molecule: transfer RNA, 72 nt
Filed under: Ovis aries (sheep)
Lineage: Eukaryota; Metazoa; Chordata; Mammalia; Artiodactyla; Bovidae
Rfam family: tRNA
About the family: Transfer RNA (tRNA) molecules are approximately 80 nucleotides in length. Their secondary structure includes four short double-helical elements and three loops (D, anti-codon, and T loops).
Source: Rfam by way of RNAcentral
UCCCUAGUGGCUCAGAGGUUAAAGCACCUGCCUGCAAUGUGGGAGAACUGGGUUCGAUCCCUGGGUCGGGAA